Molecule: ribosomal RNA, 306 nt
Filed under: uncultured bacterium
Lineage: Bacteria
Description: partial 16S ribosomal RNA
Rfam family: Bacterial small subunit ribosomal RNA
Source: RNAcentral
GACAGCAGUAGCCACGGUAAUACAGAGGGUGCGAGCGUUAAUCGGAUUUACUGGGCGUAAAGCGUGCGUAGGCGGCUUCUUAAGUCGGAUGUGAAAUCCCUGAGCUUAACUUAGGAAUUGCAUUCGAUACUGGGAAGCUAGAGUAUGGGAGAGGAUGGUAGAAUUCCAGGUGUAGCGGUGAAAUGCGUAGAGAUCUGGAGGAAUACCGAUGGCGAAGGCAGCCAUCUGGCCUAAUACUGACGCUGAGGUACGAAAGCAUGGGGAGCAAACAGGAUUAGAUACCCCCGUAGUCCCUGUCUCUUAUAC